RNAcentral lists this unclassified non-coding RNA (508 nucleotides) under Penicillium shearii. RNAcentral describes it as "sequence contains 18S rRNA gene, ITS1, 5.8S rRNA gene, ITS2, 28S rRNA gene". The stretch from base 182 to 335 matches the Rfam family "5.8S ribosomal RNA". The record is from RNAcentral. Lineage: Eukaryota; Fungi; Ascomycota; Eurotiomycetes; Eurotiales; Aspergillaceae.
GAUCAUUACUGAGUGAGGGCCCUCUGGGUCCAACCUCCCACCCGUGUUUAACGAACCUUGUUGCUUCGGCGGGCCCGCCUCACGGCCGCCGGGGGGCAUCCGCCCCCGGGCCCGCGCCCGCCGAAGACACCUGUGAACUCUGUCUGAAGUUGCAGUCUGAGAAACUAUUUAAAUUAGUUAAAACUUUCAACAACGGAUCUCUUGGUUCCGGCAUCGAUGAAGAACGCAGCGAAAUGCGAUAAAUAAUGUGAAUUGCAGAAUUCAGUGAAUCAUCGAGUCUUUGAACGCACAUUGCGCCCUCUGGUAUUCCGGAGGGCAUGCCUGUCCGAGCGUCAUUGCUGCCCUCAAGCACGGCUUGUGUGUUGGGCCCCGUCCCCCCCCUCCCGGGGGGACGGGCCCGAAAGGCAGCGGCGGCACCGCGUCCGGUCCUCGAGCGUAUGGGGCUUUGUCACCCGCUCUUGUAGGCCCGGCCGGCGCUUGCCGACCCCCUCAAUCUAUUUCAGGUGAC